RNAcentral lists this transfer RNA (64 nucleotides) under Trigonopterus ancora. RNAcentral describes it as "tRNA-His". The record is from RNAcentral. Lineage: Eukaryota; Metazoa; Arthropoda; Insecta; Coleoptera; Curculionidae.
AUUUAAAUAGUUUAUUUAAAAUUUCAAUUUGUGGAGUUGAAGAUAUGAUUAAUCAUUUUAGAUA